Molecule: long non-coding RNA, 322 nt
Organism: Mauremys mutica (yellowpond turtle)
Lineage: Eukaryota; Metazoa; Chordata; Testudines; Geoemydidae
Exons: 3
Source: RefSeq, a predicted model, not a curated record
CCAUCCCUUUCACAGAUACGGAGCAAUGACUUUGUGACAUGGUUUAGUUCCAUUCCCCCCUCAGUUCUCAGCUGGGGUCUUUGCCUUUGCUUUCCAGCUUGUCAGCAAUGGAUCCCUGAGGUCUGAAAUAGGACUUUGGGACUGAGUUGUAGUGUCUUGCUUGUUCCCUUGCGGGAGCCCGGGUGAAAGGAGCUGGAGGAGAGGAAGCACUGUUGUAUCCUGAGCUUCUUUACCAACGUCAGAGAGGGAAACAAAUAACGUGGGUGAGAGGGAGAUUGUUCAGCGGAUUGAAUAAUGAUGGAGAUAAAGAUGGAUAAACAGA